This 346-nucleotide long non-coding RNA is filed under the name Homo sapiens (human). Its description in RNAcentral is "HSALNT0201371". The record is from RNAcentral. Lineage: Eukaryota; Metazoa; Chordata; Mammalia; Primates; Hominidae.
GGCUAGAGCCCCAGGACGUGGGAGACCGGGGUCCUUGGCACCACCGAGAGUUUCAGCCCGGAAGGAGAAUUACCUUCCGUGUUCCGGAGCCCUCCCUGACAGCAGAAAUGGAACUGGUAAAAGGAGUUGCAGGACAGUCACAGGAGCAGCACUCAGACAUAUGAACCAUGGAGUGGCAGCUGUGCAAGUACCUGCUAUGUAAGCUCCAAAAUUCAGAUGACACCUGUCUUCACCAUGCUGCCCCAUGGAGGAUUGGGGCCUGGGAAAUUCUCACGUGAUGUUCUAUAAGUAAAUACUUGGUCUUUUCUCUGAUCUGGAAACCUCGCGUUUUCUAUCAGGAUAAAAU